GGGGCGGUGGCGGAAUAGGCAGACGCCGGGGACUUAAAAUCCCCUACUUUUACGAGUGUGUGGGUUCGACUCCCACCCGCCCUA
This 84-nucleotide transfer RNA is filed under the name Anaerolineae bacterium. RNAcentral's name for it is "tRNA-Leu". It matches the Rfam family "tRNA". Rfam says of the family: Transfer RNA (tRNA) molecules are approximately 80 nucleotides in length. Their secondary structure includes four short double-helical elements and three loops (D, anti-codon, and T loops). The record is from RNAcentral. RNAcentral also lists the same sequence under 2 other names. Lineage: Bacteria; Bacillati; Chloroflexota; Anaerolineae.